CAUGGUAUGUAUGAUAGAUUGAGUAUCUGUUUAUUAAAUGUAAAAUAAUUCUUCAUUCUUUUCCCUGCAGAUAAAAAGGUCUUCUACCCCGUGGUCUUCAGUCUGUACAAUCCCGCCAUCGUUUAUGGAAAUCUGGAGCUGGCUCCACCCAUUGAACUCCAACUGAUUCAUAAAAAAGACGCUGGAUUCUGGAGAGACUUCGGUUUUGGGAUGACGUGUCAGUAUCGCUCAGAUUUCCUAAAUAUCGGAGGGUUCGACCUGGACGUGAAAGGCUGGGGCGUGGAGGACGUCCACCUGUACAGGAAGUACCUGCGGAGCGACUGAUCGUGAUGCGGACGCCGGUGUCGGGCCUGUUCCACCUGUGGCACGAGAAGCAGUGUGCAGACGAACUGACCCCAGAGCAGUACCGCAUGUGCAUCCAGUCCAAAGCCAUGAACGAGGCGUCGCACUCUCACCUGGGGAUGCUGG
This is a long non-coding RNA of Sphaeramia orbicularis (orbiculate cardinalfish), 468 nucleotides long. RefSeq lists it as uncharacterized. The record is from RefSeq and is a predicted model, not a curated record. Lineage: Eukaryota; Metazoa; Chordata; Actinopteri; Kurtiformes; Apogonidae. The transcript has 3 exons.